GACGAGGGGUCCUAGCGUUGUUCGGAAUUAUUGGGCGUAAAGCGUAUGUAGGCGGCCAAGAUAGUCAGGUGUGAAAGCCCUGGGCUUAACCUAGGAAGUGCACUUGAUACUACUUGGCUAGAAUAUCGGAGAGGGUAGUGGAAUUCCUGGUGUAGUGGUGAAAUACGUAGAUAUCAGGAGGAACACCGGUGGCGAAGGCGGCUGCCUGGCCGAAUAUUGACGCUGAGAUACGAAAGCGUGGGGAGCAAACAGG
Molecule: unclassified non-coding RNA, 253 nt
Filed under: uncultured Pseudobdellovibrionaceae bacterium
Lineage: Bacteria; Pseudomonadati; Bdellovibrionota; Bdellovibrionia; Bdellovibrionales; Pseudobdellovibrionaceae
Description: uncultured Bdellovibrionaceae bacterium contains 16S-23S intergenic spacer region
Rfam family: Bacterial small subunit ribosomal RNA
Source: RNAcentral